This 938-nucleotide ribosomal RNA is filed under the name uncultured bacterium. RNAcentral describes it as "bacterial SSU rRNA". It matches the Rfam family "Bacterial small subunit ribosomal RNA", at positions 8 to 917 of the family's 1533-position model. The record is from RNAcentral.
AGAGUUUGAUCCUGGCUCAGAAUGAACGCUGGCGGCGUGCUUAACACAUGCAAGUCGAACGAGAAAGCUUUAGCUUGCUAGGGCGAGUAAAGUGGCGCACGGGUGAGUAACGCGUGGGUAAUCUGCCUUUGAAUUUGGGAUAACACUUCGAAAGGGGUGCUAAUACCGGAUAAUAUCCUUAUCAUUGUGGUGAUAAGGAUCAAAGAUAGCCUCUACAUGUAAGCUAUUGUUUGAAGAUGAGCCCGCGUACCAUUAGCUUGUUGGUGGGGUAAUGGCCUACCAAGGCGACGAUGGUUAGCUGGUCUGAGAGGAUGAUCAGCCACACUGGAACUGGAACACGGUCCAGACUCCUACGGGAGGCAGCAGUGAGGAAUUUUGCGCAAUGGGGGAAACCCUGACGCAGCAACGCCGCGUGAGUGAUGAAGGAUUUCGGUUCGUAAAGCUCUGUCAAGUGGGAAGAACCUAUUUAAUGUUAAUCGCAUUAGGUACUGACGGUACCACUGAAGGAAGCACCGGCUAACUCCGUGCCAGCAGCCGCGGUAAUACGGAGGGUGCAAGCGUUAUUCGGAUUUACUGGGCGUAAAGGGCGCGUAGGCGGCCGGAUAAGUCAGAUGUGAAAGCCCGGGGCUCAACCCCGGAAGUGCAUUUGAAACUGUUUGGCUUGAGUAUGGUAGAGGGAAGUGGAAUUCCUGGUGUAGCGGUGAAAUGCGUAGAUAUCAGGAGGAACACCGGUGGCGAAGGCGACUUCCUGGACCAAUACUGACGCUGAGGCGCGAAGGUGUGGGGAGCAAACAGGAUUAGAUACCCUGGUAGUCCACACAGUAAACGGUGAUCACUAGGUGUUGCGGGUAUUGACCCCUGCAGUGCCGCAGCUAACGCAUUAAGUGAUCCGCCUGGGGAGUACGGUCGCAAGAUUAAAACUCAAAGGAAUUGACGGG